RNAcentral lists this ribosomal RNA (460 nucleotides) under uncultured bacterium. Its description in RNAcentral is "partial 16S ribosomal RNA". It matches the Rfam family "Bacterial small subunit ribosomal RNA", at positions 338 to 795 of the family's 1533-position model. The record is from RNAcentral.
CCUACGGGUGGCAGCAGUGAGGAAUAUUGGUCAAUGGGCGAAAGCCUGAACCAGCAAAGUCGCGUGAGGGAUGAAGGUUCUAUGGAUCGUAGACCUCUUGUAUGAGGGAAUAAAGUGCGGGACGUGUUGCUUUUUGUAUGUACCUUAUGAAUAAGGAUCGGCUAACUCCGUACCAGCAGCCGCGGUAAUACGGAGGAUCGGGGCGGUAUUCGGAUUUAUUGGGUUUAAAGGGAGCGUAGGUGGGUAGUUAAGUCAGUUGUGAAAGUUUGCGGCUCAACCCUAAAAUUGCAAUUGAUACUGGCAGCCUUGAGUACAGUUGAGGUAGGCGGAAUUCGUGGUGUAGCGGUGAAAUGCUUAGAUAUCACGAAGAACUCCGAUUGCGAAGGCAGCCUACGAAACUGCCACUGACACUGAUGCUCGAAAGUGUGGGUAUCAAACAGGAUUAGAUACCCGGGUAGUC